Molecule: ribosomal RNA, 494 nt
Filed under: uncultured bacterium
Lineage: Bacteria
Description: partial 16S ribosomal RNA
Rfam family: Bacterial small subunit ribosomal RNA
Source: RNAcentral
GACGAACGCUGGCGGCGUGCCUAAUACAUGCAAGUAGAACGCUGAAGGAGGAGCUUGCUUCUCUGGAUGAGUUGCGAACGGGUGAGUAACGCGUAGGUAACCUGCCUGGUAGCGGGGGAUAACUAUUGGAAACGAUAGCUAAUACCGCAUAAGAGUAGAUGUUGCAUGACAUUUGCUUAAAAGGUGCAAUUGCAUCACUACCAGAUGGACCUGCGUUGUAUUAGCUAGUUGGUGGGGUAACGGCUCACCAAGGCGACGAUACAUAGCCGACCUGAGAGGGUGAUCGGCCACACUGGGACUGAGACACGGCCCAGACUCCUACGGGAGGCAGCAGUAGGGAAUCUUCGGCAAUGGACGGAAGUCUGACCGAGCAACGCCGCGUGAGUGAAGAAGGUUUUCGGAUCGUAAAGCUCUGUUGUAAGAGAAGAACGAGUGUGAGAGUGGAAAGUUCACACUGUGACGGUAUCUUACCAGAAAAGGACGGCUAACUACGU